Helianthus annuus (common sunflower) is the source of this 1366-nucleotide long non-coding RNA. RefSeq lists it as uncharacterized. The record is from RefSeq and is a predicted model, not a curated record. The transcript is spliced from 3 exons. NCBI's taxonomy places the organism in Eukaryota, Viridiplantae, Streptophyta, Magnoliopsida, Asterales, Asteraceae.
CAUGGAAGCAAUGGUCAUUGGUUGCGUGCCGGGUAUGUGAAAUGCUCUUUGUAGGCUUUGUUGUCUUUCUUUUUCAUUAUUUGUCGGUGUUCUUUGCGUUUCAAACUCUUAAAUUGUAUUUGAUAAUUUGGUGUUGUGUAUACUAAUUUGUUGACUGGUUAAUUAUUUGCCGUGUUGUAGGGUUGAUAUUGUUAUUCUGUUGCUGCUUCAAGGUCGAAUAGGAGUUUUUUUUCCUGUCUAUGAAGUUCAUUCAAGUGAUAUAUAAAUUUUAGGCAUUUGGGUUUAUGCCGUUUUUGGUGUCGUUUUGUUGUUUUAGGUUUUUUAUUUUUUGAAGGCAUGUUGAUUAUUGUUUAUCUUAUGUUUGAUUUUUCGUUUUUGUUUCUGGUUUGGGUGUUUGGUUUUGUUUUGGUUAGCUAAUGAUGUCUAAUAAACUAUGGUCUCGGGUACAAUAAUGAUGAUUUUGUUGUUGUCGAUGAUGUCUAAUAAACUAUGGUCUCGGGUACAAUAAUGAUGCUUUUGUUGUUGUCGUUGUUUUCAGGCAUUGUAGAGGAUAUUUUAGGUUGUGAUUCAAGUUGACAUUUAGUUAGCGAGUAGUCCGACAAGUCAUACUCUCCACUGAAUCCAUACUUGCCACGUACAACGUAAUUAAUCAGCCAUUGCUUGGUGAGAUCCAAAGAGUAUCCUCGAGGGAAGAUGAAUUUAGUCAAGAUGUGAAGAACUAGGAGAGGUGAUUGUGAAAGAGGCCAUGCUACAGCAGUGGAUUACGACCUAAGUUAUAUUUUUCCAAAUAAGUCAACAAUUUCAUUAAUCUUAUGUUCUUGGGAAUCGAUUUCCUAUGUGUAUUUCAUCGAUUUUGAUUUCGUGAUGCAGAUUGAAGAUUAAAAGUCGAUGAAGAAACCUAAUGUCACAAUUGCAGAAGAGGCGGCGAGGAUCGAUGCUGAUGAAUUAACUAAUUUUGUGUCAGAUUUGUCGGUGAGUGAAUUAUUUAGAUUUGGCGACUUUUGGAUGUUUAUAUUUAUCAAGUACCAAUUAUUUUAAAAAUAGAUUCGUGAUUUACAUUUGGCUAAUGCAUAUGUUUGGUUCUAAAGAAUUCAUUUAUAGUGGCAGCUUAGAGUUGGAUUUUGCUUUGCCUCCUCCUUUCUUCGAUGACGCUAGUUAGGCAGUUGCUGGACGCCAUCCGUGCAUGUUGAUAAAUUUGAGUUUUAUUGUCCGGUCUCACGUGUAGUGGAGUGCGUCCGGUUGCUGGACGCCAUCCGUUUGUUGGAAGUCUUGAAUAGCUUAUUGCGACGGUUUCAAGGGGGAAGAAAGAGUUUGUGAUUCAGACGGCCGGGGAUUCGGAUGUUCUAAGAAGUUGGAUGGAACGGGU